CGCCUUGCCAGCCCGCUCAGAAACUUAAAGGAAUUGACGGGGCCCGGCACAAGCGGUGGAGUAUGUGGUUUAAUUCGAUGCAACGCGAAGAACCUUACCUGGUCUUGACAUCCCGGAGACCCUUAGGAAACUAGGGGGUGCUUCCAUCUGGAAGAAUCUGGAGACAGGUGCUGCAUGGCUGUCGUCAGCUCGUGUCGUGAGAUGUUGGGUUAAGUCCCGCAACGAGCGCAACCCUUGCCUUUAGUUGCCAGCAGUUCGGCUGGGCACUCUAAAGGGACUGCCGGUGUUAAACCGGAGGAAGGUGGGGAUGACGUCAAGUCCUCAUGGCCUUUAUGACCAGGGCUACACACGUACUACAAUGGCCGAUACAAAGGGCAGCGACACUGCGAGGUGAAGCCAAUCCCGUAAAAUCGGUCUCAGUCCGGAUUGGAGUCUGCAACUCGACUCCAUGAAGUUGGAAUCGCUAGUAAUCGUGGAUCAGCAUGCCACGGUGAAUACGUUCCCGGGCCUU
This 511-nucleotide ribosomal RNA is filed under the name uncultured Desulfobulbus sp. RNAcentral describes it as "bacterial SSU rRNA". It matches the Rfam family "Bacterial small subunit ribosomal RNA", at positions 903 to 1382 of the family's 1533-position model. The record is from RNAcentral. Lineage: Bacteria; Pseudomonadati; Thermodesulfobacteriota; Desulfobulbia; Desulfobulbales; Desulfobulbaceae.